RNAcentral lists this unclassified non-coding RNA (423 nucleotides) under soil metagenome. Its description in RNAcentral is "partial contains 5.8S ribosomal RNA, internal transcribed spacer 2, and large subunit ribosomal RNA". The stretch from base 1 to 120 matches the Rfam family "5.8S ribosomal RNA", at positions 35 to 154 of the family's 154-position model. The record is from RNAcentral.
GAUGAAGAACGCAGCGAAAUGCGAUAAGUAAUGUGAAUUGCAGAUUUCAGUGAAUCAUCGAAUCUUUGAACGCACCUUGCGCCUUGUGGUAUUCCACAAGGCAUGCCCGUUUGAGUAUCAUUAAAUCAUCAACUCUAAAACCUUUGUGGUUUUUUUAGAGCUUGGUCUUGAGGGUUUUGCAGGCUUUUUUUUUUUUCGAGUCUGCUCCCUUUAAAUGCAUUAGCGAGACUUCCCUAUGCUGAACCGUCUCUUUGACGUGAUAAUUAUCUGCGUCGAAUUUUGGUUCUCGUUGGGCUUGCUUCUAAUCGUCUGUUAAAGACAAAACGGAUUUGGGUGCAUAUAUGCGCCUUUUUCCAAAACCUUUUUUGAUCUCAAAUCGGGUAGGACUACCCGCUGAACUUAAGCAUAUCAAUAAGCGGAGGA